Hordeum vulgare subsp. vulgare (domesticated barley) is the source of this 136-nucleotide non-coding RNA. The record is from Rfam. Lineage: Eukaryota; Viridiplantae; Streptophyta; Magnoliopsida; Poales; Poaceae.
AUUCUAUUCCCUCCGUCUUAAAAUUCUUGUCUUAGGUUUGUUUAGGAAUGAAUAUAUCAAAAUACUAAAACACGACUAGAUACAUUCAUAUCUAGACAAAUCUAAGACAAAAACUUUGGAACGGAGGGAGUAGUAG